CCAUCGUUUAAACCAUUAAAUAGCUAUAAAAAAUUAGGUAAUCUUUCAUUCUUCAUCGACACAAAAAACACAACCACAGUCAGGGAUCCCCUUCUGAUGCUUGGAACCUCAUUCUCAACAUAUCACUAAAAAGAUAUUCUCAACAUACCACUAACAAUAUAUUCUCAAAACUUCCCGUUGAUAUAUAUGCAUUGUUGCUGCUAAGUUAUGCAAAGAAAUGCUCUAAGUUGGAGUGAGGAGUUAUCAGAACCAAAUUAUCUAACUUAAAUGACACUGUUAUCAGAAAAUGGUUUGAUGCAAUGAUAGAAACAACACAGAUUCCACAUCUCUAGAGGAGAACAACAAAGAAACGAAAAGGAGUUAAGUUGUUCCAUCUUUUCAACAGCAUACCACUGUUCCAUUUCAACUUUGCAUUUCACUCUAUUUUUGUACUUCCCCUUAUAACCUCAAUUCUUCAUACCCGUGUCUCUGAAUUUGCAAUGGAUGAUCUGAAUAGUGAGAUCUUACCUACAAUGAGAUCCAAAGAACCGAAAGAGUUCACCUACCGGCUACCGAAGAUUGCGAGAUGUUGAGACAUGGAAAGAGGGAUAAAGCCUAGCAUGUGUGAUGAGAAUCACUCUCUUAGCCAUGAAGGCUCACCAUCUUCCACAUUUGAUGCACCAUCUGAACCCCAAUUUGGUUCCAGUGAUGAACCAAAUAGUGGAGAUAGGCAAGCCAUUCUUGGCUAAUAGAGGUAAGCUCCUCAUCUCCAUGUAAGGCUACCCUCCUCACAAGUUAGGUUUGCUCUGCUUAAUUGCCCUGGCUGGCUUGCCAUUUCACCUAGUGUGCACCAAAUAUUUAUAGUGCCUUAAUCUCUCUCUGAAUGCUUGCAAGUUGCAUGCCACAGUUCAGUUUUGACCAUUCUCCAUAGAUAUGUAGAAUAUAUUCAGUUGGCAUGCAGUCUUUUCAAGAAAAUCCUAGCUUAGCCAAGUUAGAUAUGAAAGGAUAGACAUGGAUUUAGGAUGCUAGAAACUGUGGAUAGCCUUUUUGUUUUCCAGUUUGCAAAUUUAUUCACAGGAGGAUGAUUGUUGUCCAUUGACCUGCAGUGCUCCCAGGGAAAUUAGUGUUUUUUUUCUUGCUAGAUUCUUGACUUGUCAGGAACACAGUGUUGCUCUUCUAAACAGAGACACAGUGUUGCUUGCAGCAUAUAUCGGACAUGAAUGCUAGUACAUAGCCUUUCCAUGAUUUUGUUAGGACAGGUUUACAAUUAUAAAUUCACAAAAAGAUAUAGGAGUACCUCUUAGUAAUAACCUAAACAAUGCGCGACCUCUGUCUUUGGUUAUACUUGAAUUAGUGUCAUGUCUCUCAGAAAUGUCAUUUUAGAAUUCAAUAAUAUUUACCCCCCCAAAAGAAUCCAAUAAUAUUACAUGUCAUAUAUUAGAAGAAAAAGAGUUUGCCAAAUACUCCUUCCGUUUUUUUUCUCUCAGAAAUGUCAUUUUAGAAUUCAAUAAUAUUUACCCCCCCAAAAGAAUCCAAUAAUAUUUCAUGUCAUAUAUUAGAAGAAAAAGAGUUUGCCAAAUACUCCUUCCGUUUUUUUGUUUGACGUCGUUGACUUUUUUUAUUUACGUUUGACCCUCAUCUUAUUCAAAAAUUUUGUCCAAAUAUACAAAAUUAUAAAUCAUACUUAAAGUUACUUUAGUAAUAAACCAAAUAUAAUAAUAUAGUCAAUAACUAUAUAUAUUUUUGAAUAAGAUGAAUGGUCAAACGUAGAUAAAAAAAUCAACGACAUCAAACACAAAAAGUCGGAGGGAGUACCCACGUUCCUAAAUGCAUCACCAAACUAGGUUAUCAUAACUGCCAAACCAACCCUUAGUCUAGUUUAAGUUUUUUGCUUGACACCACUGUCAAUAUGAUGAAGUUAUGAACUAUCAGUUUAAUUGCAGGCAUGUUGAAGUUGAUCACUUUAGCAGCCAAAUAUUCUGUUUGACAAGUUGCUGUGGCAAGAUUUGCAUAUAUACUUCAUUUCCUUUUUUGCUUGUUCCAUAUGAGGACAUCAUUCCUGUCAAGUGGGACAAGUUCUACAUUGCAGCAUAGAGUUGAAAGCAUGAAAGUAUACAAAAGUAUAAACUCCACAAUAAAAUGUUUGACUUGGCAUUACAUCCCCAACUUGAAAGAUUAUACCAUUACAAGUGGUUGAGAGGUGACAUUGUUUUUACUACUGCAAAAACGAAUAAAAAUAGUCAAAGCAUCUAAGGUACUAUUCUCGAAGAUAUUGCUAAUCCACAACAGAAUGUCAAUAAUAGCCAGCAAAACUUGUCAAAUCAGGAAUCUAUUGUUCAUUUGCUGCCAACUGUGUGCCAAGUUACUAAUGGAAGAAUAAAUUCCAGCAAAAUACUUUCAACUAAUCUAUUCAGCUUCCAUUCAGUGCAUGCAUCUUUUGGAACACCACACGUUGGACUUUGAUUUCACCCAUGAUGCAUUUAUGUGGUUAACCGUUAAAUGGAAUAUAAGAAAUAAUUUAUCACGAUUUGUUGGAAUGUUAUGUGAUUCAUGUUUUCGAUCUUCAUUUAAUUUUCUAAUCUUCUUUGGCAUGUUUCUAACGCAACACUAACAAAAGUUAUUCUUUCUUUUUCAGACAAACUAACAAA
Molecule: long non-coding RNA, 2627 nt
Filed under: Oryza brachyantha (malo sina)
Lineage: Eukaryota; Viridiplantae; Streptophyta; Magnoliopsida; Poales; Poaceae
Description: long non-coding RNA (OBRA_LNC003085)
Source: RNAcentral